UCCUAUUACAGUGCAGAGGCCUAGGA
RNAcentral lists this non-coding RNA (26 nucleotides) under Homo sapiens (human). The record is from RNAcentral. Lineage: Eukaryota; Metazoa; Chordata; Mammalia; Primates; Hominidae.